Molecule: non-coding RNA, 45 nt
Filed under: Hyphomicrobiales bacterium
Lineage: Bacteria; Pseudomonadati; Pseudomonadota; Alphaproteobacteria; Hyphomicrobiales
Description: mini-ykkC
Rfam family: Guanidine-II riboswitch aptamer (mini-ykkC)
About the family: Simpler in structure and has fewer highly conserved nucleotide positions than the ykkC-yxkD leader.
Source: RNAcentral
CGAGGGGGACGGCCUCUUCGCUAUCGAGAUCUCCGGGACGGCCCG